GCAGUUAAACUUCACCAACCCGAA
Molecule: non-coding RNA, 24 nt
Filed under: Arabidopsis thaliana (thale cress)
Lineage: Eukaryota; Viridiplantae; Streptophyta; Magnoliopsida; Brassicales; Brassicaceae
Source: RNAcentral